Molecule: ribosomal RNA, 261 nt
Filed under: uncultured bacterium
Lineage: Bacteria
Description: partial 16S ribosomal RNA
Rfam family: Bacterial small subunit ribosomal RNA
Source: RNAcentral
GUGGCGGACGGGUGAGUAACGCGUGGGUAACCUGCCUUGUACUGGGGGACGAACAGUUGGAAACGACUGCUAAUACCGCAUAAGCGCACAGCUUCGCAUGAAGCAGUGUGAAAAACUCCGGUGGUACAAGAUGGACCCGCGUCUGAUUAGCUGGUUGGUGAGGUAACGGCCCACCAAGGCAACGAUCAGUAGCCGGCCUGAGAGGGUGAACGGCCACAUUGGGACUGAGACACGGCCCAAACUCCUACGGGAGGCAGCAUG